RNAcentral lists this small RNA (773 nucleotides) under Pongo abelii (Sumatran orangutan). RNAcentral describes it as "processed transcript". The record is from RNAcentral. Lineage: Eukaryota; Metazoa; Chordata; Mammalia; Primates; Hominidae.
GGUGUGCCUCUGGCACCUGGUGAAAGCCACCGAGGAGCCAGAAGGGACCAAGGUGCAGUGCAGCAGCCUACGGGAGCGGGAGCCAGCAAGGGCCAAGGCCAUUCCGGAAAUCUACCUCACCCGUCUGCUGUCCAUGAAGGGCACGCUGCAGAAGUUUGUGGACGACACCUUCCAGGCCAUUCUCAGUGUGAACCGGCCCAUCCCCAUCGCCGUCAAGUACCUGUUUGACCUUCUGGAUGAGCUAGCAGAGAAGCACGGCAUCGAGGACCCAGGGACCCUGCACAUCUGGAAGACUAACAGGUGCCUUUCCUGCUGCCGCACCCCUGCUGUGCACAUGGUCCACUGAGUCCCAGAGGGACCAGGACAUUCCCAGGGUGGAUGCCCCCACCUGGGGUUUCUGGAACUUACAGGAAGAUCUAGGGCCCAGGUCACCUGGGCCACCAGGCCAGCUUCCAGCGGCCCCUGGCCCCGAGUGUGUUGCCAGUAGGCUGGAGUUCAUGGGGCGGAGAUCACAAUGGCAGGCCAGGGCCUCACGCCCACGCCUGCCCUGCGCCCCCAGUCUGCUGCUGCGGUUCUGGGUGAAUGCCUUGAAGAACCCACAGCUCAUCUUUGAUGUGCGGGUGUCGGACAAUGUGGACGCCAUCCUUGCUGUCAUCGCCCAGACCUUCAUUGACUCCUGUACCACCUCGGAGCACAAAGUGGGCCGGGAUUCCCCAGUGAACAAACUGCUCUACGCCCGGGAGAUCCCACGCUACAAGCAGAUGGUGGAGAGG